UACGUAGGGUGCAAGCGUUAAUCGGAAUUACUGGGCGUAAAGCGUGCGCAGGCGGUUUUGUAAGACAGAGGUGAAAUCCCCGGGCUCAACCUGGGAACUGCCUUUACGACUGCAAGGCUGGAGUGCGGCAGAGGGGGAUGGAAUUCCACGUGUAGCAGUGAAAUGCGUAGAGAUGUGGAGGAACACCGAUGGCGAAGGCAGCCCCCUGGGUCGACACUGACGCUCAUGCACGAAAGCGUGGGGAGCAAACAGGA
This 254-nucleotide ribosomal RNA is filed under the name uncultured prokaryote. RNAcentral's name for it is "partial 16S ribosomal RNA". It matches the Rfam family "Bacterial small subunit ribosomal RNA", at positions 524 to 777 of the family's 1533-position model. The record is from RNAcentral.